AAGAAACAAACAGAUCUUGGAUGGCCCGAGGGAAACAGACUCUUUGUGAUGUGAUAGUUUUAUCAAAGUUCACAUAGUACAGCAGUUCCUCCUCCUGCAGUGCAAGGGUGGAGCGCAGUUCUUGGAUCAGUUCCAACCGUUUCUCUCUUCCCUUGAACAUCUGUCAACCAUCAGACUUCAUCCUUUCACAUCGACAACAACAUCGCAAUUGGUUAGAAAACCAGGCUCCGCCCACUGAGCCUUACCUGAAUCUGCACGGAUCUUCCUCUGAGCACUUUCUGCAGAAAGAUAAUGACCUGUUCCUUUUCCUCAUCUCCCUGUUAUGGACAGAACACUCAUAUCUCAGAAUGAUCGAUGUGUCAUACAAAAAGAAUUCCAAAAUAAAUGAUUCCGUGGAAGUCAAUGUUUAUCAUACAGUAUCCUCCGAUCACUUGAGAUCAGCGGUUCUUUCAGUUUUUGUGAAAAAGAAUGCACUUUAGAAAAGAGUAAUUAUUACUGAAAAUAAUGUAAUUUAAAAUAAUGUUUGUGAAACUGCAUGUUAAUUGCACUUAAUUCAUAAUGUAUAA
Long non-coding RNA from Carassius auratus (goldfish), 566 nucleotides. RefSeq lists it as uncharacterized. NCBI's taxonomy places the organism in Eukaryota, Metazoa, Chordata, Actinopteri, Cypriniformes, Cyprinidae. The transcript has 3 exons. The record is from RefSeq and is a predicted model, not a curated record.